This is a long non-coding RNA of Ananas comosus (pineapple), 698 nucleotides long. RefSeq lists it as uncharacterized. The transcript is spliced from 2 exons. Lineage: Eukaryota; Viridiplantae; Streptophyta; Magnoliopsida; Poales; Bromeliaceae. The record is from RefSeq and is a predicted model, not a curated record.
AGAAAUAUAUUUAUAAUUCACUAUAUCUUCAAAGACCUGAAUAAAAUUAACCCUAUAUAUAUAUAUAUAUAUAUACACACUUGGCCCUAACUUAGUUGAACUCUCACUUCACAAACAUCUCUCACUUCCUAAACUUAACCCCAACAUGCAUUUCCCUCACCUUCUCUUCCUCCUUCCUCUCCUCCUUUCUCUCUCCACUCUUCCAUGCAAUGGCGGCCGCCAUCUCCGAUCCGCUCCCUCGACCGAUCCACCCUUCAACUACUCCGUCGAUAUGAAAUACUCUAAUGGCACCCAUCAUGCGGAGCCAACUCCAUCAUCUAUUCAAGGCGAUCGGUAUCUCGACGACGACAACGACGACGCUUUCGACGCCAAGGAUUAUUCGACUGCGCCUCGCACUCCUCACCGACGACAUGAUCACGAAGAACUGGGUUUCGACCUCGACUACGACCCACCGAGAUCUCAUAGCCCACACCACAACUGAGGCUACAAAUUAAUGCAUGCAAAUGCGAAUGCAACUGCAAAUGGCCAUUUUCUCUAACUAUUAUGGAGCUGCUACUCCUUUCUCUAUUGAGUAGUGCAUUAAUGUACAUAAUAUAUAUAUAUAUAUAUAGUGCGUGGAGAAGUACGUAGAACGUUGUUGUUUGGUUACGUGUGAACUUUGGAGCGUAGUUAAUAUAUAUAUAUUGAAGUUUAUACGA